RNAcentral lists this ribosomal RNA (501 nucleotides) under uncultured bacterium. RNAcentral's name for it is "partial 16S ribosomal RNA". It matches the Rfam family "Bacterial small subunit ribosomal RNA", at positions 30 to 523 of the family's 1533-position model. The record is from RNAcentral.
AUUGAACGCUGGCGGCAGGCUUAACACAUGCAAGUCGAGCGGGGGAAGGUAGCUUGCUACCGGACCUAGCGGCGGACGGGUGAGUAAUGCUUAGGAAUCUGCCUAUUAGUGGGGGACAACAUCUCGAAAGGGAUGCUAAUACCGCAUACGUCCUACGGGAGAAAGCAGGGGAUCUUCGGACCUUGCGCUAAUAGAUGAGCCUAAGUCGGAUUAGCUAGUUGGUGGGGUAAAGGCCUACCAAGGCGACGAUCUGUAGCGGGUCUGAGAGGAUGAUCCGCCACACUGGGACUGAGACACGGACCAGACUCCUACGGGAGGCAGCAGUGGGGAAUAUUGGACAAUAGGGGGAACCCUGAUCCAGCCAUGCCGCGUGUGUGAAGAAGGCCUUAUGGUUGUAAAGCACUUUAAGCGAGGAGGAGGCUCUUUUGGUUAAUACCCAAGAUGAGUGGACGUUACUCGCAGAAUAAGCACCGGCUAACUCUGUGCCAGCAGCCGCCGCGG